GUGUCAGCCGCCGCGGUAAUACGGAGGGUGCAAGCGUUAAUCGGGAUUACUGGGCGUAAAGCGUGUGUAGGCGGUCUAUUAAGUCGGAUGUGAAAGCCCCGGGCUUAACCUGAGAAUUGCAUUCGAAACUGGUAGGCUUGAAUUUGGUAGAGGGAAGUGGAAUUCCGGGUGUAGCGGUGAAAUGCGUAGAUAUCCGGAGGAACACCAGUGGCGAAGGCGGCUUCCUGGACCAAAAUUGACGCUGAGGCACGAAAGCGUGGGUAGCAAACAGGAUUAGAUACCCUGGUAGUCCACACCGUAAACGAUGAAUGCCAGACGUCGGGCAGCAUGCUGUUCGGUGUCACACCUAACGGAUUAAGCAUUCCGCCUGGGGAGUACGGCCGCAAGGUUAAAACUCAAAGGAAUUGGCGGGG
RNAcentral lists this ribosomal RNA (413 nucleotides) under uncultured prokaryote. Its description in RNAcentral is "bacterial SSU rRNA". It matches the Rfam family "Bacterial small subunit ribosomal RNA", at positions 505 to 918 of the family's 1533-position model. The record is from RNAcentral.